CACUGCCGAGAAAAGCCUCUAGAUAGAAAAUAGGUGCCCGUACCGCAAACCGACACAGGUAGUCAAGAUGAGAAUUCUAAGGUGAGCGAGCGAACUCUCGUUAAGGAACUCGGCAAAAUGACCCCGUAACUUCGGGAGAAGGGGUGCUCUUUAGGGUUAACGCCCAGAAGAGCCGCAGUGAAUAGGCCCAAGCGACUGUUUAUCAAAAACACAGGUCUCUGCUAAACCGUAAGGUGAUGUAUAGGGGCUGACGCCUGCCCGGUGCUGGAAGGUUAAGAGGAGUGGUUAGCUUCUGCGAAGCUACGAAUCGAAGCCCCAGUAAACGGCGGCCGUAACUAUAACGGUCCUAAGGUAGCGAAAUUC
Molecule: ribosomal RNA, 363 nt
Filed under: Staphylococcus aureus
Lineage: Bacteria; Bacillati; Bacillota; Bacilli; Caryophanales; Staphylococcaceae
Description: partial 23S ribosomal RNA
Rfam family: Bacterial large subunit ribosomal RNA
Source: RNAcentral